UACGGGGGGAGCAAGCGUUGUUCGGAUUUACUGGGCGUAAAGGGCGCGUAGGCGGCCACCGCAAGUCGACUGUGAAAUCUCUGGGCUUAACCCAGAAAGGUCAGCCGAUACUGCGGGGCUAGAGUGCAGAAGGGGCAACUGGAAUUCUCGGUGUAGCGGUGAAAUGCGUAGAUAUCAAGAGGAACACCUGCGGCGAAGGCGGGUUGCUGGGCUGACACUGACGCUGAGGCGCGAAAGCCAGGGGAGCGAACGGG
This 254-nucleotide ribosomal RNA is filed under the name uncultured bacterium. RNAcentral describes it as "partial 16S ribosomal RNA". It matches the Rfam family "Bacterial small subunit ribosomal RNA", at positions 524 to 776 of the family's 1533-position model. The record is from RNAcentral.